UUCCCUUCCGCUCUCCUCCCUGAUCUGGAGAGGCACCCGUACGCAGCCGUCGACGCCGCCUCGUCGUUGACAUGCUCCGGCACCACCCCGUCCCGCUCGAAGGCGCCCAGGAGCUGCGCCUCGACGUCCUCUACCUCCAGGACAACACUCACGAGCAGGGAUGUACUGUACGGUCGCCAUCGAGCUCAUCUCCGCGUACAUCGUCGCCGUCCGCCGUCGUUUGCCGCUACUCUGGUCCGUUCCCGGCCACCCCAACCACGUCCCCGAGUCCACUGUGAGCUCCUCUGCCCACACCCCUGCUCACCCCCUCGAUCCGUCGCCGUUUAGUCGCCCGCACUUUGGCCGCCAUGGCCGGAGUUCGAGCUCCCGUGCGUGCCCGCGCUGCUGCUGCUCUGGAACCACUGCUGCCUGCCGCCCCCUGCGCGCGCCAUCCGCCCGUGGCCGCGCCCCUACGCCUGCAGGCGGCUGCCGCGCUGCCCGCGGCUCCUCUUGCCGCCGCUCCUACUCCAUGUGGCUGCUUGCUGCUGGUCUUUUGCUACUGCUCCUUAGCGCCGCUGCUUCUGUUGCCGCGGUUGCCUGCUGCGUUGCUGCUCCCGCUAGAUGCUGCUAGGAACUUGCCGCUGCUACUACUGCCCCUCUUGCCGUUGCUAGCCAUUGAUUGAUUCCACCGCCAUAGUUGUUUCUGCUGUUGGUUGAGGCUGCUGGCACAUUCAGGCCUCAUGUGUCGUGUGUAUCCAUAGCCCUGUGCCUUUGUGCAUGGCCGUGUGGUGGCCGGCCUGAUAGUUUAAUUUAGUUAGACUACUAAUUAGUGAUUAGGUAUAGCCAGAUGACAUGUGGCCCCUGCUGAUAAUUAAAGGUUAAAUCAAAAAAAUAAGCCUAUGACAUGCGGGACACACUUCUAUUCUUCACAUGUUGACUAGUCAACUGUUGACUAGGUCAACCUAGCCACUGGACCCCAUUUGCAAGCCACUGUAGCUAAACUGUUGUUGUUUGCACUUAGCCUUUUCUUUUAAAAUCGAAUUAAAACAAAUUCUGAAAAUGCAAUAAACUUCGAUAAUUCGUAGAAAGUAAACUAUAGCUCGGAUGAAAAUAAUUUGUAUAUGCAAAACGAUCAGAAAAAUAAGUUGAUUCUGUUUACGCCAUCCAUAUACCUGUCACAUGUCUCUAACACAACAAACAUGGAACCUUCCCCUCCGGAUCGCCCAUCCGAUAAUUUCCCAGAGCCGGGGAAAUAUUCCCGGAUAUUUUCCGCUCCAUAUGUAACGCGUAGCACUACGUUAGGUUGCCCAUAGCACAACGUUCAUGUAUUGCUUUGUGAUGCGAUUGUUUGCUCCGUUAUUUAUUGUGUUCCUCCUCCGUUACUUCCUUUCCGGUAGACCCCGCGACCGUUGUCGAACUGGUGAUUGACN
Molecule: long non-coding RNA, 1409 nt
Filed under: Triticum aestivum (bread wheat)
Lineage: Eukaryota; Viridiplantae; Streptophyta; Magnoliopsida; Poales; Poaceae
Description: long non-coding RNA (TAES_LNC020527)
Source: RNAcentral